GACGAACGCUGGCGGCGCGCUUAACACAUGCAAGUCGAGCGAUAACCAUGGCUUCGGCCAUGGGGAGAGCGGCGAACGGGUGAGUAACACGUGAGUAAUCUGCCCUCGACACUGGGAUAGGCCCGGGGAAACCCGGAUUAAUACCGGAUAGCCUCUCGAGCUUUCGGGCUCGUGAGAAAAGAUGGCUUCGGCUUUCGGUUGAGGAGGAGCUUGCGGCGGAUUAGCUUGUUGGUGAGGAACGGCCCACCAAGGCGACGAUCCGUAGCUGGUCUGAGAGGACGAUCAGCCACACUGGGACUGAGACACGGCCCAGACUCCUACGGGGAGGCAGCAGUGGGGAAUCUUGCGCAAUGGGCGAAAGCCUGACGCAGCGACGCCGCGUGAGGGAAGAAGGCC
Molecule: ribosomal RNA, 396 nt
Filed under: uncultured bacterium
Lineage: Bacteria
Description: bacterial SSU rRNA
Rfam family: Bacterial small subunit ribosomal RNA
Source: RNAcentral